This 1303-nucleotide long non-coding RNA is filed under the name Equus caballus (horse). RNAcentral describes it as "lncRNA (ENSECAG00000058089.1)". Lineage: Eukaryota; Metazoa; Chordata; Mammalia; Perissodactyla; Equidae. The record is from RNAcentral.
GUUGGGUUCCACAAAUAUCUGCUGCAAUGACGGAGGGAUGCAUGUGCGUCCCUGGGGGGUGGGAAGAGGCCAUGGAGUCUUCCUAGAGGGACAGCUUCCAGUCGGGGUGGACCCCACCGUCUGUGGGCCCUGAGCUUGGCCUUGCAUCCAUCAGCCCGUGGAGUAACUUUCCCUGGGUGGAGAACACAAUGCACACGCAGAGCUGGAGGGCAGGGGAGGAGGAGCUGGGAUAUCGGAGAUGGACCAAAGAAGAAGACUUUUCAGGAGGAACAGUUUUGCGUUUAAAAUCAGGACUGAGUACAACAUGAAAAGAAUUCUGGACCUCAGGACAUGGCGGGAGUGAAAAUGCAGAAUUCGCACCAAGGAAAUCUUACUGCUUUGGUAUCUCAGAUCGCAAAUUACAAACAGUUGUGUGCAGUCUGAAAAACACCAUUCAGCAGUCUCUCAAAGAGAAGCAAUCGCUUCACUUUCUCAACCAAGAUUUAAAAGUUAGAAAACGAUCCAGAUUUCGUUUUCCCAAGUGCCCUGGGACCCAUGGGGCCGCGGCCCUAACCUGUUUCGUAACCUCUCCGAAGGGCCGAGGGCCGGCUCUGAUCUUAGCACAAUGGGCUUCCUCAGAUGAAGGUGACCUCCCUCCUGAAUGUUUUUCUUGUCUGCAUGCUCCCUGGCUCUCUCGCCUGCCGGCCUUACGCAACUGCUCUUAUCUGCGCACAAGCUGUGGGUAAGCAAAUGUCCUUCUGGACACGGCUAAUCUCUCCAGCAGUCCUAGAUCCCUUGAGAUUAUGAAGCUUAAUUAUACUUUGGGUUUGGGAAGCUCGUUUUCCCCAUGGUGCAUUCAGAUCUCUGAUUUCACCUUCCUGAAACGUUUUUGUCUGACAGACACAACACUUCUGCCCCAGCGUCAGUUUUCUUGUGUCUAAAAUGAGGCAGCUUGACAAGAUGAGCUUUUUGUUUAUCAGCCCAAGGAAAUCCAGCCAGUCUGGGCAGGGCUGGGACACUGGAUCCGACGCCAGCCCCUCUUUGUUUGGAAGAUGUGCUGCGGACCCAUGUUCCGGAAUGAUCCUGAACAGCGUGUUCUUUUAAGUUUCCUUUCCUUCGAAUCUGCUCACCUACCAGAAACCUCACUGGGUAACUCAUCCUGUUCCCCAAAUUCCUCUCUGGCUACCCGAGUUACCCCAGAAACUUCUCCAUACUCCCGCUCCCCCCAGCAGGGGCAGGCCCCUCCCUCGGAAUCCCUUCCACAGGGCCUGGUGACCCUGCUGCUCCUUUUCCCGCCCCGGCUCUCAGGGCCUCCUUCCUGCAG